RNAcentral lists this ribosomal RNA (253 nucleotides) under uncultured bacterium. Its description in RNAcentral is "partial 16S ribosomal RNA". It matches the Rfam family "Bacterial small subunit ribosomal RNA", at positions 524 to 776 of the family's 1533-position model. The record is from RNAcentral.
UACAGAGGGUGCGAGCGUUAAUCGGAGUUACUGGGCGUAAAGGGCGCGUAGGCGGUUCGUUAAGUGAUAUGUGAAAUCCCUGGGCUUAACCUAGGAACUGCAUGUCAUACUGGCGAGCUAGAGUAUUGUAGAGGGUAGUGGAAUUUCCGGUGUAGCGGUGAAAUGCGUAGAGAUCGGAAGGAACACCAGUGGCGAAGGCGGCUACCUGGACAAAUACUGACGCUGAGGCACGAAAGCUAGGGGAGCAAACAGG